UNCUGGCAAAAGGAAGCACAUUGAUGACUAC
This 31-nucleotide non-coding RNA is filed under the name Homo sapiens (human). The record is from RNAcentral. Lineage: Eukaryota; Metazoa; Chordata; Mammalia; Primates; Hominidae.